Long non-coding RNA from Mauremys reevesii (Reeves's turtle), 1907 nucleotides. RefSeq lists it as uncharacterized. The record is from RefSeq and is a predicted model, not a curated record. The transcript has 3 exons. NCBI's taxonomy places the organism in Eukaryota, Metazoa, Chordata, Testudines, Geoemydidae.
AGGAUUCCUUUUUGAAUGUCAGAUCUCAAACAGCAUCUGCUUUGCACAGAUGUGUAUGACUGCCCCAACUACAAGGUGGUAAUAAAGCAGGACAUAGUUGUGUCUAGAGGCCUCAACCAAGAUUAGAGGAGCCAACCUGCUAUACGCUAUACAAAGAGUGAGACAGAUCCUGCCCAAGGAGCAUAAUAGACCAGAUAAAGGGGCAGGAUUGGAAACAGAGGUGAAGUGACUUGCCUAAGGUUACACUGCAGACUUAGAUGUGCCAUCCCCACUGAGACCUCCAUGCUGAUGUGACUCAAUCAACUAUGCUUGGAGAGAAGGGACUCCUGGAAUCUGAGGAGCACCUCCUUGUGGAAAGAUCAGAGGCAGAUGCUGGAGAUGGGGAAGAAGUAUGGGGUGGAUGUGACUGGGACUGUUGUUAAGACUUUGGAAGCUGCUGAUCUUCUAGCUAUGGCUGAGGGUGGAACUAUCCAGGGGAACAGGAUUUUGUGGUGCCAGAUGGUGGCUUCAGAGACUGCAUACCAUGGUGAUGAUACUGAGUGUCAAUCCAGGGCUGUUCCUCACCCUGAUCCUGGGAGAAAGGAUGUGAUCAGUGUGCCACCCACUUUCCCUAACCCCAUCCCCUACUUAAGCAAUGGGGAUGCUGCAGCCGGAGCUGAAUGUUCUUCUGUGUUGAUGGAGUCCAAGAGGGGUGAAGAGGAUGGCUAUGGCCUCUCUGACUCCUUGCUGGUCCCCAGUGUUCCAGCCAGUUAGCUGGGCAGUAUUAGCAGCUCUGCAGGAGUCUUUCCCUAUGGCCGGGAAACAUUCCAGCAGCUCCCUGAGAGAGGAAAGGCUCCAGCAGCAGGGAGGAUGUGAGACUCUACAAUGCUAAAAAUAGCUGCACAGAUAAGGAGGCACAGCUUGAGCAAGCAGAGAGCCCUGUAGGAUACAUCCACAGAGUUCAGUAGUGUUUUUACUCUGCCUUAGUAGUGCCUCACCAUCUACACUGCUGCUUACACUUCAUGACCUCUUAGUACUCUACAUGCUGCCGAAAGGAGUGUGCAGGGUAGAUGUACCUUUUGUUGACAAUUUUUAGAGGGUGGUAUUUUCUACCAAAAUAUAAUAGAGAGAGCACCAAAAUUUAAAGUUAGCAUAAAUAAUUUCUGAUGGGAAUUAGAAAUGCCAGAACUUUUAAGAACAAUCACUGAAUUUCUUGUAACUACAUGUAAAGAUGUCAGUACUGGAGCACUUUAAAAUGCUAUAAAUCUACCCAUUACAAAUGGUUGUUUGAGAUUCUAUUGGAAUUUCCCCCCAUUCAUUGUAUACUUUCGCUGAAUGUUGCACAAAUAUAAUCUCCUGCAAAAGUGUUUAGAUGUACUUAAUUUUUUCUAGGUCUAUACAAAUAAAAGGUAUACCCAAGGAAAUGUUCUUUUUACCAGGUGAUAUUUACUCUCUAACUAAAGAAUAACAUCAUUUGAUAAGUGAAAAAAGAUGUGAUUGCAGAAUAAGAACUGUACCUGGAAUAAAUGUCAUUUUCAUUUAUGCUUGCUAUAAUUUAACCACUGUGUUUUAAUGUCCACAUGGAUGUAGUUUUAAACUUUUAGAUUGCUUUUAUCUAAGUAAUUGAAAAGGAAGUUCUAUUAAGACUUCUCUAAUUAUGAUAUUGCCACAAAAAAGUGUAUCUGUAGCUUCCAGAAUGUAAUAAGCAUACUUAUAAACGUGAGCUUAGAUAUAACACACAGUACUUAUUGCCCUGUAUUUUUAUGCAGUAUUUUUACCACCAGGUUUGCUGCCAACAAGUCAGGUAGAUGAGCUGGCAUGAAACCUGCCUGGCUUCCAGAGAAAUUCGGGUAAAAUUGACACAUUCUCAUGGAACAUUCAAUUUAGACAAAUCAGUAAAUUCCAUCACAAGUUUAAUCAAAAAUUUA